UGGGUUGUGGCUCAGCGGUAGAGCACUCAUCUAGCAUGUGCGAGGCCUUGGGUUCAAUCCUCAGCACCACAU
Molecule: transfer RNA, 72 nt
Filed under: Marmota monax (woodchuck)
Lineage: Eukaryota; Metazoa; Chordata; Mammalia; Rodentia; Sciuridae
Rfam family: tRNA
About the family: Transfer RNA (tRNA) molecules are approximately 80 nucleotides in length. Their secondary structure includes four short double-helical elements and three loops (D, anti-codon, and T loops). Further hydrogen bonds mediate the characteristic L-shaped molecular structure. tRNAs have two regions of fundamental functional importance: the anti-codon, which is responsible for specific mRNA codon recognition, and the 3' end, to which the tRNAs corresponding amino acid is attached (by aminoacyl-tRNA synthetases). tRNAs cope with the degeneracy of the genetic code in two manners: having more than one tRNA (with a specific anti-codon) for a particular amino acid; and 'wobble' base-pairing, i.e. permitting non-standard base-pairing at the 3rd anti-codon position.
Source: Rfam by way of RNAcentral